This 93-nucleotide transfer RNA is filed under the name Sinorhizobium sp. GW3. RNAcentral describes it as "tRNA-Sec". It matches the Rfam family "tRNA". From Rfam's summary of the family: Transfer RNA (tRNA) molecules are approximately 80 nucleotides in length. The record is from RNAcentral. Lineage: Bacteria; Pseudomonadati; Pseudomonadota; Alphaproteobacteria; Hyphomicrobiales; Rhizobiaceae.
GUGCCGGUAGCUUAACGGUAAAGCACCCGUCUUCAUCAGGCUAAGGCUUCCUUAAAACGGGUGAUGCACGUUCAAAUCGUGUCCGGCACGCAA